This 23-nucleotide non-coding RNA is filed under the name Cricetulus griseus (Chinese hamster). The record is from RNAcentral. Lineage: Eukaryota; Metazoa; Chordata; Mammalia; Rodentia; Cricetidae.
CUGCCAUUGAAGCAUUCCUGUGG